RNAcentral lists this unclassified non-coding RNA (210 nucleotides) under Glomeraceae sp. Its description in RNAcentral is "partial contains 5.8S ribosomal RNA and internal transcribed spacer 2". The stretch from base 1 to 71 matches the Rfam family "5.8S ribosomal RNA", at positions 84 to 154 of the family's 154-position model. The record is from RNAcentral. Lineage: Eukaryota; Fungi; Glomeromycota; Glomeromycetes; Glomerales; Glomeraceae.
GUGAAUCAUCGAAUUUUUGAACGCAAAUUGCACUUUCUGGUAUUCCGGAGAGCAUGCCUGUUUGAGGGUCAGUUAUAUCAUCAUCGUUGUUAUUGCUAUUAAUGUUGUUGCACUGGAAUUGAGUCGUCUUUACCUUUGGUUUUAAGUGACUUAAAAUUAUGUACGAUUUCUGAACGACUUUACAUUCUUUACUUACGCUCAUGAUAUCAC